AUCUCUUGCACUCGUUCCUGCAACAUCUCAAUCAUGGUUUCUCGCGUCGUGUUGGUCGUGCUGGUGGUGGUCGUCCUAGCGGCCGCAGCAGUGGCUCUCCCUGACCCCACGAAACGGCACUUGGGAUACGGCUUGUACGGAGGAUACGGCCUCGGAGGAUUUGGCUUGGGAGGCUACGGAGGAUACGGAGGCUAUGGAUCCCACUAUCCCUAUUACGGAUCCUACUACGGAUAGGUAUGGUGGCGUACAUAGUGAUCUCUGUACCUUUCUUCUACAAAAUCCAAAAUAUCUUUGUCUUCAAUAAAAAAAAAA
Molecule: long non-coding RNA, 312 nt
Organism: Penaeus indicus
Lineage: Eukaryota; Metazoa; Arthropoda; Malacostraca; Decapoda; Penaeidae
Exons: 3
Source: RefSeq, a predicted model, not a curated record